UUUUUUGAUGUCCUGUGUAAAGAAAAUGUGAUCAGGAGAGCCCUCGUCCAGUCCACACUCACAAAGUGAACUGUCUUUCACUCUAAUUUUAGAUAGGAAAACCGGAGUAC
Molecule: long non-coding RNA, 110 nt
Organism: Melitaea cinxia (Glanville fritillary)
Lineage: Eukaryota; Metazoa; Arthropoda; Insecta; Lepidoptera; Nymphalidae
Exons: 3
Source: RefSeq, a predicted model, not a curated record